AAAAUAGGUGAAGCCAGCCUGGGAUUUAAUUUGUGUCAGCAUCCAAUAUCUAAAUAGAGAAUAUUUGUAUCAUCAGACCAAGCACCUGAGUUCAGGAGAAUAAAAUAAUAAUAAUGACCCUGAACUGGAACAGCUUUACAUUGAAGCGUUUAACAGGGAGCUGGAAUUUUUUGCACCACGGGAUGCUGUAGAUGCUAAAAAUUUGCAUGGGUUGAAAAGUAACUGGAAAAGCUCCUGGGAGAAAAUCCGUUGAAGAUGCAUCAGCUGUAAACCCAAUAUGUCUGUGACUUUUCUCAUUGCUAUUCCCCAUUAAUGACCCCUAAGCAAUUUAGAUACAAACUUCACUUUUUUUUCCCUUUAUCUUAGUUGGGCUUACAUACUUUUCAUAUCACCUCACAGGAGAGCACAUUAUGUGCCUUUUCAAUGAAAAAGCCUGAGGCUGGUGCCAGGGCCAAAACAGGCUGCUGCAGAAC
This 473-nucleotide long non-coding RNA is filed under the name Struthio camelus australis. RNAcentral's name for it is "lncRNA (ENSSCUG00000012721.1)". Lineage: Eukaryota; Metazoa; Chordata; Aves; Struthioniformes; Struthionidae. The record is from RNAcentral.